This 623-nucleotide ribosomal RNA is filed under the name uncultured bacterium. RNAcentral describes it as "bacterial SSU rRNA". The stretch from base 1 to 537 matches the Rfam family "Bacterial small subunit ribosomal RNA", at positions 338 to 873 of the family's 1533-position model. The record is from RNAcentral.
CCUACGGGAGGCAGCAGUGGGGAAUAUUGGACAAUGGGCGAAAGCCUGAUCCAGCAAUUCCGCGUGUGUGAAGAAGGCCUUCGGGUUGUAAAGCACUUUAGGUUGGGAAGAAAAAGCUUCGGUGAAUAUCCGGAGUGUUGACGGUACCAACAGAAUAAGCACCGGCUAACUCUGUGCCAGCAGCCGCGGUAAUACAGAGGGUGCAAGCGUUAAUCGGAUUUACUGGGCGUAAAGCGUGCGCAGGUGGUUUCGUAAGUCGGAUGUGAAAGCCCCGGGCUCAACCUGGGAACUGCGUUCGAUACUGCGAGACUAGAGUUUGGUAGAGGGUGGCGGAAUUCCCGGUGUAGCGGUGAAAUGCGUAGAUAUCGGGAGGAACAUCAAUGGCGAAGGCAGCCACCUGGGCCUGAACUGACACUGAGGCACGAAAGCGUGGGUAGCAAACAGGAUUAGAUACCCUGGUAGUCCACGCCGUAAACGAUGAGACUGACGUUGGUUCGUUUACGAUCGGUGUCGUAGCUAACGCGAUAGUUCUCCGCCGUGGGGAGGUACGGCCGCGAGGUAGAACGUAACGUAAGAAGUUAGAGUCGUUGAGACGNGCCGACGGACGACGACGAGGGAGGAGG